UUGCACUUUGGUGUCCAAGCUCUCUGGUCAUUGGAGUGUGCACAGCAGAACACUAUGGAACAACUCAAGGCCAAAGAAGCACUCCAGAUCAGACCAGAGCCAAAGAGGCAUGUUCCACAUUCAGUCAGGCUAAUGGCUCUAAUUCCUGCCAGGUCAUCUUAAUGACCAGCUCCAUGCCUGACCUUACAUGCUGACUCCAGGAGAGUAGAGGUCUAGCUGCAAGUGCAAGUGGAAGCUAGCACACAGAAAAGCUUCUUGGUCCAGCCCUGUCAAACCCAGCGCAGGUGGCAGCCGAUGUCGCUCUGGCGUCCUAUAAAAGAAGUCUCAAUCAACAGGCUGUGCUAGAGGAAGGCCCCCACGGUCCCUUUAAACAUGUCCAAAAGACUCUGUCUAUCAGCGGAUCAAUCAGAGAUGGCUAAUCAAUGAGCUUUUGUGCAAGAGUGUCAUUUGCCCUUGGGGACAGAGGGCCUUUUCAUCCAACCAUGCAGCCCAGGAAACUUGCCCAGUUAGAUUAUAAGUUAGAACUAAUGUCUAAAAGGUGAUAGAUAUGAACAUGCUUUAAAAAGUUUGAGCUGGGUGGAAACCCACUUAAGGUAGCCCAAAUACGAUUGAAUGCAAAUUGAGGCUAAUAAAAGGUAAUACAUGGAUGAA
Long non-coding RNA from Electrophorus electricus (electric eel), 651 nucleotides. RefSeq lists it as uncharacterized. Lineage: Eukaryota; Metazoa; Chordata; Actinopteri; Gymnotiformes; Gymnotidae. The record is from RefSeq and is a predicted model, not a curated record.